UACGUAGGGUGCAAGCGUUGUCCGGAAUUAUUGGGCGUAAAGGGCUCGUAGGCGGUUUGUCGCGUCGGGAGUGAAAACACCGGGCUUAACUCGGUGCUUGCUUUCGAUACGGGCAGACUAGAGGCAUGCAGGGGAGAACGGAAUUCCUGGUGUAGCGGUGAAAUGCGCAGACAUCAGGAGGAACACCGGUGGCGAAGGCGGUUCUCUGGGCAUGUCCUGACGCUGAGGAGCGAAAGUGUGGGGAGCGAACAGG
RNAcentral lists this ribosomal RNA (253 nucleotides) under uncultured bacterium. RNAcentral's name for it is "partial 16S ribosomal RNA". It matches the Rfam family "Bacterial small subunit ribosomal RNA", at positions 524 to 776 of the family's 1533-position model. The record is from RNAcentral.